Ictidomys tridecemlineatus (thirteen-lined ground squirrel) is the source of this 673-nucleotide non-coding RNA. Lineage: Eukaryota; Metazoa; Chordata; Mammalia; Rodentia; Sciuridae. The record is from RefSeq and is a predicted model, not a curated record.
AGAGUGGCAUUCUACAGCUGUCCAACUGCCAGGAAAUGACACACGGGAGCUUUUUAUAACUCCAGAGCCCUAGAAAGUUGCUUUAGAAAAAAGAAAGAAGAAAAAGCCUGAAUUCUCAGGCUCUGCUCCUCAGCUGCCUGGGGCUAAGGCCCAGCACACCCACCAUCCCACCCCAGUGUGGGCCCCGCCCCCAGGCAGGCAGAGCCGUGGGGGGCAUGACAGAGAAAGGGGGUCCUGACUGCUAACUGGCUUGGAGGAGCCCCCAGAGGGACACUAAUUCCCAGCUGGGCUACUCCAAAAGUCAUCUCCAGGAAGGGCUGUGUGCGGUCACCAUCAGACGAAAGCAGAAGGACCAGGUGGACCCUGUCCCAACUGGGGACAGCAAGGUUGCUGAGCCCCUGGGGUCAGCUGAGCUUUCCUGGAGACUGUGUCUCAGCCCAGCUUCUCCCUCCGCCCAGGGCCCUUCCUGAGAGGCCUCCUGACAGAAGCCCACGCAGAGCCAUCAGCCUCCUGGGGAGCCCUGUCCACGACAUGGCCGCCGGGGGCAGACAUGAGAGAGUGGGGUCAGCAGGAGGGGCAACGGGCUUUCCUCUUUAUUCCUUUUUCCACCCUGUACGUGUAUUAUUUACUUAAAAUUUAUUUUUUUUUUGAUAAAUAAGAGCCUAUCAAUCGA